This 928-nucleotide long non-coding RNA is filed under the name Homo sapiens (human). Its description in RNAcentral is "long intergenic non-protein coding RNA 1723". Lineage: Eukaryota; Metazoa; Chordata; Mammalia; Primates; Hominidae. The record is from RNAcentral.
GUUCACCCCACUCCUGAUCUUGUUGGCUGCUCAGGGGCUGACAGCCCAGAUGUGCAGCUGUGAUGAGCAGAAACAGGGAGGAAUGGAGCCCCCAGCCAUUGUCAUCACUUCCUCAAGCUGUCUAAAUUCUGCCCAGCAGUCUGUGAAAAUGUUGUGCUGAUGACAUAUUAAGUCAUGUAUCCGUUAAAAGAAUAUCUGGAAACCUCCAAAAGGAAGCCAAGCAUAGACUAUUUGGAAGAACUUGAAGGAGCGAGAGCUGACCCCAUCUUUGUACACUGGCAGCACAAGGACAACAAUCAACACGGAAGACUUCUGUGACCAAAUGUGUGCACGUUUCUCUCCAUACACCAAGCAAGCAAUCUAUUCUGCAGCAGACACCAACUGGAAGUCCUCCAAUUCAAUUCAAUUCUGACACUGUCUACCUGGAAAUGGCCUCAGCAACCACAGGUUGAGAGCUCAGUCCCACAAGAACACCUCCUCCUUCCAACCAGUUGAAACUCCACACCUCCAGAACUUCUCACUGACUGGCUUCGAGUUGAGAAAAACAUCAAAAUGUUGUACAAAUUUGUAAGGAUUUGAUAAUAAAUUUUGGCAGAUGUCCAAUAUCAAGAUCACCAACCACUUCAUUAAUAAUUGUUGUUAAGUCAUGGAACUUGUCUGCAGAAAUUGUAUUCUUCCAAGCUUCUAACUGAGGAUUUUGCCCUUCAACCUUAUCUGCUGUGAAAAGACAUGUUUUUUUUUGCAAAGCAAUAUUAAGAUAAUUGAAAUAUCCAAAAUACUAGACAAAUGAGAAAGAUUCGUUGUCCAAUUUCAUCUUAAAGUCAAUAUCAAAUUGGUUGCUUACCUUGGAAACACUGAGAUUGUUCUAUAGUUCAACAGUUCUCCACCAAACUUUUACCCUCAAUAAAGAUGUACUUCCACAUACAUU